UGCCUACGUGAUGAAGCCUCUGUCCCUAAACUUCGGGGUUCAGAGAGCUUCUGGAUUGGUGAGCACAUCCACAUACGAGGAAGCUGACACACCCAACUGCAUAAGGACAGAAGCUUCUGUGCCUGGCACCCUUCUGGACCUCACCCUGUUCCUCUUCAUCUGGCUAUUCAUUUGUAUCCUUUAUAAUAUUAUUUAUAAUAAUAUAAGAAAAAUGCUUAGACAACAGCCUCCGAGAGCCAACCAGAUUUCCUCCAAGAAGAAGACCCACCCUGGCCAGCAUUCUACCACAGGAAUGAUUAAUCUGGGCUUUGGGGUCCACCAACCCCUCUUUGCUGUCUCCCUCUGGUGCUUCCCAUCCAAGAGCUAACAGGGAGCCCGCAGGGAAGCCCGCAGUGUGGUUUGCAGAGUCUGAACUGCACAAGGCUGAGCCCGGAAGGGCAGGUUUGGAUCUGAGAGACGGCAAAAGACCCCGUGGGCAAGGCAUCCCUUGAUAGGAAACUAAACUACCCCCUCCAGCAGUUAAGUACCGCACCGAACCAGCAAGACCCUGCAUGACUGACCCCAAGACAAUGGCCGUCCUGACCUUUACUGCCCGCCUGCACAUUCCCACCGACCUUUGCCCCACAUUUUCCUCAUAUAAACCUGGAAGUGUUUUCGGCACUUUGGAGACAGUCUUUGAGACUCUAGUCCACAGUCUUCCCGGUGCUGGCCUUGCUGAAAUAAAUUCCUUUCUUGUUUCA
Prionailurus viverrinus (fishing cat) is the source of this 740-nucleotide long non-coding RNA. RefSeq lists it as uncharacterized. Lineage: Eukaryota; Metazoa; Chordata; Mammalia; Carnivora; Felidae. The record is from RefSeq and is a predicted model, not a curated record. The transcript has 4 exons.